RNAcentral lists this unclassified non-coding RNA (21 nucleotides) under Mus musculus (house mouse). RNAcentral describes it as "oocyte_clustered_small_RNA6780". The record is from RNAcentral. Lineage: Eukaryota; Metazoa; Chordata; Mammalia; Rodentia; Muridae.
CUGGUCUUGCUGCAGCUGUCA